CUCUCUUCACGUUCUCUCCCCUUCCUCCCUCUCUACAACCAGUGAUUCGCCGCUGCCGUCACCUCUGCCGCCGGCGUCAAGCCUCCAGGGAGCGAUCCCUUCCAGCUACCCAUCAGACACACACCCGCGGCCCCCGUUCCCCCUCACGGGCCCCGCGUCUCUCUCGAGGCGAGACGAGCCCGCCCGCCUAGGGUUUCCGCCGCCGCCGGAGAGGGAAGGGGAGGGGGUGAGGAACUGAACCGGAGCACGAUGGCCGGACGACUCCUCGGGCAGCUCCUCGUCAUGGGCGGCGCCGUCGUCGGCAGGGCCGUGGUCCAGGCCUACCGCCAGGCAAUCGUCAGUUAUGAAGAUGUGUCCAUCCGGAGCCAUUAAAACAAUAUGCUACAUAUACUGGGUAGAUAUCUCUGAUUAUUCCGUUAUUACGGCGGGCGAGGAGAAACAAUAUGUACCGUGUAGUAUGCUGAAGUUCUCAGUUCAUGGGAUCAUUGGUUGGAUCUUCUUCCAAUGCCACAACACGUGUAUGGACACUGUAGAAAAAAAUAUGUGAGGCGUUUUGCUGCAAUCUAUCCAUACUGCCCAGCGCAUGUUGUAAGUGAAGUUUCCUAUGAGAUUGCUAACAGUUUAGUGAACGUAACUGUCGCAGUUUAUUCUGUCCCUAAAACAGAUGUAGAUGAAGAAUUAAUAUGUUGUUGCAGAGAAGAUAGAUAAUGUGGUGUCUGAGUUUUAGCCUAGAAGCAGACACAUAGUCCAUGAACAACAUAUUAAUUUUUCCUUAAGAACGUUGCAACUGUCAUCUGGAUUGGGACAAAUUUAUCCGAGUUGAUACUAACUCCAUCCUUGAUUUCAUCAUAUAUGUUUAGGUGUUUACUUCUUUUUCUACAACCACCAGCACUCAAAUUUCCCAUCUAGACAUGUGUGUACUCCAUGUUUCAUUGAAUAAACAAAAGAAGAACCAUAGACUCACUGGCAGGUUCCUUAUCUUUCUUUUUGUUGAGAAGGAGUUCAUGAUUAUGAUAGAACUUGGCAAGCUUCAUUGAUAAUGACAAUUAUUGUUAGAUGCAAUUCAGGAAUAUAUCUUGACCAAGUGAAUUUUCUUAGAUUAUGGCAUUAUGCACUCCUAUACUUUUAAGGAUUUGGUUUUCCCAACAUUACACGCUAUACAUGCAUGUUUGUCACCUGCACCUAAUUUACAUACUGUAUGCGUUGCCACUUGGCACUUCUACCCUUUUUCUAUUCUCCAUAUCGUGUAGCUAUUGUUUUCUAAAUUUUCCAUGUAUGCAGAUAGCAGCCAAUUAAUAGAAGCUAUAACUACAAAAGUAACAGCAGCCUGUUGGUGCUCUUUUAUGAUGUCUACUUCCGACUGAAUAUUGGUUGGCAUUACAAAGCUAGGCACCUGAGCUAUUUACAGAAGGAGGGGACCCGACCUUCUUCAUGUCCCGCGGCAGUGUUUUCCUUUGAUCCGUUCGUGCAACAAGGAGGGGACCUGGCCUUCUUCAUGUCUCGUGCAACAAGGGUGAUGGACAUUGACUACGACAACCUGGUGGGCGUCGUGCUCUUCAACCACUCAGAGGUGGACUUCGCCGUGCAGCCUGGCGACCGCACUGCACGGAUGAUUGUCGAUGUGAUCGCGACGCCGGAUGUCGCCGAGGUGGAGGACCUCGAUGCCAUCGUUCAGGGUGAGGGAGGAUUUGGGUCCGCCGGCGUCUCAACUCCGAGCCUUGCUAGAUACAUGUAGAGAAGUGGUCUGUUUAGGCUGGUGGUGGAACAUUAGGGAAGGUACCCACCUUUGGUUGUGUGCGUUUAAUUUAUUUUGCACUGGAUGUGUCCCUGAUUUCUAUCUAUGAAUAACGCAUGUAAUUUUUUUUAA
Molecule: long non-coding RNA, 1867 nt
Organism: Aegilops tauschii subsp. strangulata
Lineage: Eukaryota; Viridiplantae; Streptophyta; Magnoliopsida; Poales; Poaceae
Source: RefSeq, a predicted model, not a curated record